Gasterosteus aculeatus aculeatus (three-spined stickleback) is the source of this 855-nucleotide long non-coding RNA. Lineage: Eukaryota; Metazoa; Chordata; Actinopteri; Perciformes; Gasterosteidae. The record is from Ensembl.
GGGAAAUGUGCAAAACUGAGAAGGUUGUAAAAAAAUUAAAUGAAAUCUGUAAUAUAAAUCAACAGUACAGUACAAGUGAAAUCCUGACAAGCGAGUUAGGUUUUAAAGCAGCCAGAGUAUCCCUGUUUUUUUGUUUUGUUUUUUAGAUCUUUUUUUUUCAGAAUUUUUUUUUCAGGCUAGAUGAAUGAGGUAGGAUGGAGUGGGAGGUGAAGGAAGGUGUUCUUACAGGUGUCUAGUCUCAGGCACGUUGAUGUUGACGUCCUGGAUAGUCUCCUUUUUCUUCUCUUCUCUCUCCUAUGUCUUUGUCUCCUUGUCCUGGAGCUUGUGCCUCAUUUCGUCCAUCUCCGUCUGCCGGUCCUUUUUUUUUUUUUUUUCAGAAUAUUUUUUUCAGGGUAGAUGGAUGAGGUAGGAUGGAGUGGGAGGUGAAGGAAGGUGUUCUUACAGGUGUCUAGUCUCAGGCACGUUGAUGUUGACGUCCUGGAUUAUCUCCUUUUUCUUCUCUCUCCUAUUUCUUUGUCUCCUUGUCCUGCAUCUUGCGCCUCAUUUCGUCCAUCUCUGUCUGCCGGUCUUUUUUUUUUUUUUUUUUUAAGUACAGGCAGAUGUUUUCAAGGACUGUUUUGUUGUCCUCUAAUUCUGGGAUCCUGGUGAUACGGAUCUAAUGUUCUUUGGGGAUGGUAUCCUCUGUUUGUUGGAUCUUAGAGAUCAGGCACAAUACAGUGAACCCACUGCUUGUGACCAUCUCUUGGUGGAUAUCCUCUUGGCUCUUUUUCAAAUUCAAAGAUUUUAUUGUCAAAUAUACCCCCCUUGUGUAUUGAAAUUCUUAUGCUUGCCUUUUCUGGACAGCCGACCAAUUUU